This 497-nucleotide ribosomal RNA is filed under the name uncultured bacterium. Its description in RNAcentral is "partial 16S ribosomal RNA". It matches the Rfam family "Bacterial small subunit ribosomal RNA", at positions 28 to 507 of the family's 1533-position model. The record is from RNAcentral.
GACGAACGCUGGCGGCGUGCCUAAUACAUGCAAGUUGAGCGCUGAAGGUUGGUACUUGUACCAACUGGAUGAGCAGCGAACGGGUGAGUAACGCGUGGGGAGUCUGCCUUUGAGCGGGGGACAACAUUUGGAAACGAAUGCUAAUACCGCAUAAAAACUUUAAACACAAGUUUUAAGUUUGAAAGAUGCAAUUGCAUCACUCAAAGAUGAUCCCGCGUUGUAUUAGCUAGUUGGUGAGGUAAAGGCUCACCAAGGCGAUGAUACAUAGCCGACCUGAGAGGGUGAUCGGCCACAUUGGGACUGAGACACGGCCCAAACUCCUACGGGGGGCAGCAGUAGGGAAUCUUCGGCAAUGGACGAAAGUCUGACCGAGCAACGCCGCGUGAGUGAAGAAGGUUUUCGGAUCGUAAAACUCUGUUGGUAGAGAAGAACGUUGGUGAGAGUGGAAAGCUCAUCAAGUGACGGUAACUACCCAGAAAGGGACGGCUAACUACGUG